RNAcentral lists this ribosomal RNA (733 nucleotides) under Bacillus subtilis. Its description in RNAcentral is "partial 16S ribosomal RNA". It matches the Rfam family "Bacterial small subunit ribosomal RNA", at positions 47 to 760 of the family's 1533-position model. Lineage: Bacteria; Bacillati; Bacillota; Bacilli; Caryophanales; Bacillaceae. The record is from RNAcentral.
CCUUUUACKUGCAAGUCSAGCGGACAGAUGGGAGCUUGCUCCCUGAUGUUAGCGGCGGACGGSYGAUUAACACGUGGGUAACCUGCCUGUAAGACUGGGAUAACUCCGGKAAACCGGGGCUAAUACCGGAUGGUUGUYUGAAYCGCAUGGUUCAGACAUAAAAGGUGGCUUCGGCUACCACUUACAGAUGGACCCGCGGCGCAUUAGCUAGUUGGUGRGGUAACGGCUCACCAAGGCGACGAUGCGUAGCCGACCUGAGAGGGUGAUCGGCCACACUGGGACUGAGACACGGCCCAGACUCCUACGGGAGGCAGCAGUAGGGAAUCUUCCGCAAUGGACGAAAGUCUGACGGAGCAACGCCGCGUGAGUGAUGAAGGUUUUCGGAUCGUAAAGCUCUGUUGUUAGGGAAGAACAAGUGCCGUUCAAAUAGGGCGGCRCCUUGACGGUACCUAACCAGAAAGCCACKGCUAACUACGUGCCAGCAGCCGCGGUAAUACGUAGGUGGCAAGCGUUGUCCGGAAUUAUUGGGCGUAAAGGGCUCGCAGGYGGUUUCUUAAGUCUGAUGUGAAAGCCCCCGGCUCAACCGGGGAGGGUCAUUGGAAACUGGGGAACUUGAGUGCAGAAGAGGAGAGUGGAAUUYCYACGUGUAGCGAUGAAAUGCGUAGAGAUGUGGAGGAACACCAGYGGCSAAKGCGACUCUCUGGUCCUGYAACUGACGCUGAKGAGCGAAAGC